AUUGAACGCUGGCGGCAUGCCUUACACAUGCAAGUCGAACGGCAGCACGGGAGCAAUCCUGGUGGCGAGUGGCGAACGGGUGAGUAAUGUAUCGGAACGUGCCCAGUCGUGGGGGAUAACGUAGCGAAAGCUACGCUAAUACCGCAUACGAUCUGUGGAUGAAAGCGGGGGACCGUAAGGCCUCGCGCGAAUGGAGCGGCCGAUAUCAGAUUAGGUAGUUGGUGAGGUAAAGGCCUACCAAGCCGACGAUCUGUAGCUGGUCUGAGAGGACGACCAGCCACACUGGGACUGAGACACGGCCCAGACUCCUACGGGAGGCAGCAGUGGGGAAUUUUGGACAAUGGGCGCAAGCCUGAUCCAGCAAUGCCGCGUGCAGGAUGAAGGCCUUCGGGUUGUAAACUGCUUUUGUACGGAGCGAAAAGGCUCUCUCUAAUACAGGGGGCUCAUGACGGUACCGUAAGAAUAAGCACCGGCUAACUACGUGCCAGCAGCCGCCGUAA
RNAcentral lists this ribosomal RNA (500 nucleotides) under uncultured bacterium. RNAcentral's name for it is "partial 16S ribosomal RNA". It matches the Rfam family "Bacterial small subunit ribosomal RNA", at positions 30 to 523 of the family's 1533-position model. The record is from RNAcentral.